This is a small nuclear RNA of Amazona collaria (yellow-billed parrot), 146 nucleotides long. Its record names the gene U1. It matches the Rfam family "U1 spliceosomal RNA". Rfam says of the family: U1 is a small nuclear RNA (snRNA) component of the spliceosome (involved in pre-mRNA splicing). NCBI's taxonomy places the organism in Eukaryota, Metazoa, Chordata, Aves, Psittaciformes, Psittacidae. The record is from Ensembl.
AUACUUACCUGGCAGGGGAGACACCAUGAUCAAACAGGUGGUUUUCCAGGGCGAGGCUCAUCCCUUGCACUCCAGGUGUGCUGUUUUUUCUUUCUCUAGAGAGCAGACUUUGGCCUCUUCAGGAACCUGCUCAGUAAGGUUCCAUG